AUGUGGAAUUGAUUUCAAAUAGAGCUGAAUAGCAAAAAAGGAUUGAUAUAGCUAACCUCAAUUAGUUUAGGAUUAAGACAUUGUUGUUGUCAUUUUUAUCAAAGAGCCAGAAAUUAGAACAACACGCCAUAGAGAUUGGCAUUCAAUAAUCAUAAUUUCAACUGAUGGCACCAGUUCUUAAAACAUGAUACAGGAAUAGCAUAUGCAUUGGAACAACUCCUAUAAAGUCACUGAACCUUUAGAAACAUGCGUCACGAGCAUGAGAAAUAUAGCGUAGACUUGGUCUACCACAUGACUGUAGACUAAUCCAAUGAUAUUGUUUUACAUCAUCCACAAUUCAAGGCUAAUUACAGAUAAGUGACAAACUUAUCCAUCAAUAUAUUAACAUAGCAUGAUAUGAUUGGUGUAGUCUAUAGAUAGAUUAGGUCUACUUAAGAAUUUCUCCACAAGCACAACUAGAGUACAAGGGCAACAAAAUAGUUUAUAGGAUCAGAAAGCAAAGUUAAUGAGCUUUACAAUGAACAAGCUCAACAAAGGGCAACAUCAUGGAUUUAUUUCAUCCUUGAAUUACAAGCUGCUUCUUAAAUAGGGGUUUAACUGUUAAGCCCACCAAAACAUGCCAUGUAUCAAACUACUCAAAUCUGAGUUAUGCAACAUCCAUAGAGACCAUUAAUAUUAGAAAUUAUAAAAAAAAAAGGCCAUAACAUGCAUUGCGUAGUCAGAGACUCAAUGCAAGUCCAUUUCAAAUAUGCAAUUCAUAAGAGUCCAACUUCACUAAGUGCAGAAAAAAAACAGCACAAACACAAGAAACUAAUAAAUUUCCUCUUUGGGAGAAAUCAAAUCCAGGCACAAUAACAUUGGGUCAAGCUUAUACGCAUCAAUUUUAUUAGCAAUGAUCUAAUUCUAAUCAUACUUCUUAAAAAAGCAACUCAAGUAUUUGUUACUUGUGCCAUUCAUAUGCAGAUCGUCCAUUUGGCUAAUCCAUUUCAGUUUAACCAAGGUUUUCCUUUCACUCUUUCAAGGUUCAAAGUUCAUUCACUGAAGAAUAUUAUAUGUGGGGCUAAAUCUAUCAACAUAAAAUCAAAUUUAAAUCUAAUUUCAUCAUUUUUUUGGGGUCAAAAUGAACAGCAACUAAUAAACACCUCUCAAUUGAAUGGCAUAGAGUACUCUAGUCUAAAAUAAAUUGAAAAGAAAUCCCAGUUAACAAAGUAUAAGCAGAGAUAUAGUAAACAAUACCUAUUCUCAUCAGAAUGAGGGUGUAUAGAUAGGAACUUUCCCGGUACAGUUAAAGCAGCCCACAUACACAAAACUAACCCCACGAGCAACUCGACCACCACCUGCAAUCCAACCAAACAAAAAGUAAAAAAAGAAAAAAGGCCACAAACCUAUCAACUGAAACAAAUAAAAAUAAUCAAGCACAUGCAUAACAGGGAAGAAAGGGGAAAAAAAAAUCUCACGUUCAUUGGAGGUCCUGAAAACUCCUCCUCCAUAAUCUUCAACAAACCUCUAUAUUGAAUGGUUGAAUAAGCUGCAUGAGCCAGAAUCAGUACUCCAAAAGCGCCAAUUGCAAAGCCUAAACCCAUUUUAUUAACUUCGCUGAAUAUCCGAUCACCGGCUAACCUGAGUUCCGGGAUCGGGCUCUACACAGCUGUUAGGGGCGGAAGUCCCAAGAAGCAGAGACUUUCAGAUUUAUGUUGUCAAAUCAAAUCUGUCUCACUAAAGCC
Molecule: unclassified non-coding RNA, 1724 nt
Filed under: Hevea brasiliensis (rubber tree)
Lineage: Eukaryota; Viridiplantae; Streptophyta; Magnoliopsida; Malpighiales; Euphorbiaceae
Source: RNAcentral